UUAUUGUUUGAAAAUUGAUAUUUGCAAUGUACUCAAAAUACCCAAAAAAAAAAUCCAAUUGAUUUUUAUUAUUGCGACAAAAUAGUACAAAAUAAAGUCAUAGAGCCAUUGUGCCAUGGCUUGUCCUUUGGAUCCAUACUGAAAUAGUUAUUUAAAUAAUUUGCUCAUAAUCAGGAGUCCUUUAAUGAUGAUCAUUAAUAAGUUUGGCUCAGUUGAUAAAUUGUCACUUUAAGUUGCACUUAUUUACCUACUAUUACUGCCAACCUUUACUGUCCCUGUCUCAGCGAGCUUUGAGACUAACAUAACACUUUUCGAUCUGCAGAGCAAUGUGAAAAGGAUAA
RNAcentral lists this unclassified non-coding RNA (341 nucleotides) under Hevea brasiliensis (rubber tree). Lineage: Eukaryota; Viridiplantae; Streptophyta; Magnoliopsida; Malpighiales; Euphorbiaceae. The record is from RNAcentral.